CACGUCGAGCGGUAACAGAGAGUAGCUUGCUACUUUGCUGACGAGCGGGGGACGGGUGAGUAAUGCUUGGGGAUCUGCCCGGUCGAGGGGGAUAACCGUUGGAAACGACGGCUAAUACCGCAUACGCCCUACGGGGGAAAGCAGGGGACCUUCUGGCCUUGCGCGAUUGGAUGAACCCAAGUGAGAUUAUCUUGUUGGUGAGGUAACGGCUCACCAAGGCGACAAUCUCUAGCUGGUCUGAGAGGAUGACCACUCACACUGGGACUGAGACACGGCCCAGACUCCUACGGGAGGCAGCAAUGGGGAAUAUUGCACAAUGGGGGAAACCCUGAUGCGCCCAUGCCGCGUGUGUGAAGAAAGCCUUCGGGUUGUAAAGCACUUUCAGUGGUGAGGAAAGGAGGUUGGCUAAUACCUGACCUCUGUGACGUUAACCACAGAAAAAGCACCGGCUAACUCCGUGCCAGCCGC
Molecule: ribosomal RNA, 468 nt
Filed under: bacterium 2611-S3-05-1
Lineage: Bacteria
Description: bacterial SSU rRNA
Rfam family: Bacterial small subunit ribosomal RNA
Source: RNAcentral